This 490-nucleotide ribosomal RNA is filed under the name Salmonella enterica subsp. enterica serovar Heidelberg. RNAcentral describes it as "bacterial SSU rRNA". It matches the Rfam family "Bacterial small subunit ribosomal RNA", at positions 1 to 480 of the family's 1533-position model. The record is from RNAcentral. RNAcentral also lists the same sequence under 4 other names. Lineage: Bacteria; Pseudomonadati; Pseudomonadota; Gammaproteobacteria; Enterobacterales; Enterobacteriaceae.
AAAUUGAAGAGUUUGAUCAUGGCUCAGAUUGAACGCUGGCGGCAGGCCUAACACAUGCAAGUCGAACGGUAACAGGAAGCAGCUUGCUGCUUCGCUGACGAGUGGCGGACGGGUGAGUAAUGUCUGGGAAACUGCCUGAUGGAGGGGGAUAACUACUGGAAACGGUGGCUAAUACCGCAUAACGUCGCAAGACCAAAGAGGGGGACCUUCGGGCCUCUUGCCAUCAGAUGUGCCCAGAUGGGAUUAGCUAGUUGGUGAGGUAACGGCUCACCAAGGCGACGAUCCCUAGCUGGUCUGAGAGGAUGACCAGCCACACUGGAACUGAGACACGGUCCAGACUCCUACGGGAGGCAGCAGUGGGGAAUAUUGCACAAUGGGCGCAAGCCUGAUGCAGCCAUGCCGCGUGUAUGAAGAAGGCCUUCGGGUUGUAAAGUACUUUCAGCGGGGAGGAAGGUGUUGUGGUUAAUAACCACAGCAAUUGACGUUACCC